UACGCCAGUCCUACCUAA
This 18-nucleotide unclassified non-coding RNA is filed under the name Mus musculus (house mouse). Its description in RNAcentral is "oocyte_clustered_small_RNA11173". Lineage: Eukaryota; Metazoa; Chordata; Mammalia; Rodentia; Muridae. The record is from RNAcentral.